UCCAGACUCCUACGGGAGGCAGCAGUGGGGAAUAUUGCACAAUGGGGGAAACCCUGAUGCAGCGACGCCGCGUGAGUGAAGAAGUAUUUCGGUAUGUAAAGCUCUAUCAGCAGGAAAGAAAAUGACGGUACCUGACUAAGAAGCCCCGGCUAACUACGUGCCAGCAGCCGCGGUAAUACGUAGGGGGCAAGCGUUAUCCGGAUUUACUGGGUGUAAAGGGAGCGUAGACGGUGAAGCAAGUCUGAAGUGAAAGGCGGGGGCUCAACCCCCGGACUGCUUUGGAAACUGUUUGACUGGAGUGCAGGAGAGGUAAGUGGAAUUCCUAGUGUAGCGGUGAAAUGCGUAGAUAUUAGGAGGAACACCAGUGGCGAAGGCGUCUUACUGGACCGAAACUGACGUUGAGGCUCGAAAGCGUGGGGAGCAAACAGGAUUAGAUACCCUUGUACCA
RNAcentral lists this ribosomal RNA (448 nucleotides) under uncultured bacterium. Its description in RNAcentral is "partial 16S ribosomal RNA". It matches the Rfam family "Bacterial small subunit ribosomal RNA", at positions 330 to 797 of the family's 1533-position model. The record is from RNAcentral.